UAGAGUUAAGGGUAAAGUGAGUUAGAGUGAGGUAGAGUUAAGGGUAAAGUGAGGUAGAGUUAAGGGUAAAGUGAGGAAGUGUGAGGUAGAGUUAAGGGUAAAGUGAGGAAGUGUGAGGUAGAGUUAAGGGUAAAGUGAGGAAGUGUGAGGUAGAGUUAAGGGUAAAGUAAGUUAGAGUGAGGUAGAGUUAGGGGUAAAGUGAGGAAGUGUGAGGUAGAGUUAAGGGUAAAGUGAGGAAGUGUGAGGUAGAGUUAAGGGUAAAGUGAGGAAGUGUGAGGUAGAGUUAAGGGUAAAGUAAGUUAGAGUGAGGUAGAGUUAGGGGUAAAGUGAGGAAGUGUGAGGUAGAGUUAAGGGUAAAGUGAGGCAGAGUUAAGGGUAGAGUGA
This is a long non-coding RNA of Astyanax mexicanus (Mexican tetra), 384 nucleotides long. RefSeq lists it as uncharacterized. The record is from RefSeq and is a predicted model, not a curated record. NCBI's taxonomy places the organism in Eukaryota, Metazoa, Chordata, Actinopteri, Characiformes, Acestrorhamphidae. The transcript is spliced from 3 exons.